UACGUAGGGGGCUAGCGUUGUCCGGAAUCAUUGGGCGUAAAGAGCGUGUAGGCGGCUUGGUAGGUCCGCUGUGAAAACUCGAGGCUCAACCUCGAGAUGUCGGCGGAAACCACUUGGCUAGAGUCCGGAAGAGGAGAGUGGAAUUCCUGGUGUAGCGGUGAAAUGCGCAGAUAUCGGGAAGAACACCCGUGGCGAAGGCGGUUCUCUGGGACGGUACUGACGCUGAGACGCGAAAGCGUGGGGAGCGAACAGG
This 253-nucleotide ribosomal RNA is filed under the name uncultured bacterium. RNAcentral describes it as "partial 16S ribosomal RNA". It matches the Rfam family "Bacterial small subunit ribosomal RNA", at positions 524 to 776 of the family's 1533-position model. The record is from RNAcentral.